UCCCUGGUAGCUCAGAUGGUAAAGCAUCUGCCUGCAGCGCAGGAGACCUGGGUUCGAUCCCUGGGUCGGGAA
This 72-nucleotide transfer RNA is filed under the name Ovis aries (sheep). It matches the Rfam family "tRNA". From Rfam's summary of the family: Transfer RNA (tRNA) molecules are approximately 80 nucleotides in length. The record is from Rfam by way of RNAcentral. Lineage: Eukaryota; Metazoa; Chordata; Mammalia; Artiodactyla; Bovidae.